This 321-nucleotide ribosomal RNA is filed under the name uncultured bacterium. Its description in RNAcentral is "bacterial SSU rRNA". It matches the Rfam family "Bacterial small subunit ribosomal RNA", at positions 28 to 349 of the family's 1533-position model. The record is from RNAcentral.
GACGAACGCUGGCGGCGUGCUUAACACAUGCAAGUCGAGCGGUAAGGCCCUUUCGGGGGUACACGAGCGGCGAACGGGUGAGUAACACGUGGGUGACCUGCCCUCAGCUCUGGGAUAAGCCUGGGAAACCGGGUCUAAUACCGGAUAUGACUCCAUGACGCAUGUUGUGGGGUGGAAAGCCUUGUGCGGCUGAGGAUGGGCCCGCGGCCUAUCAGCUUGUUGGUGGGGUGAUGGCCUACCAAGGCGACGACGGGUAGCCGGCCGUGAGAGGCGACCGGCCACACUGGGACUGAGACACGGCCCAGACUCCGUACGGGAGGC